GGUUAAGCGACUAAGCGUACACGGUGGAUGCCCUGGCAGUCAGAGGCGAUGAAGGACGUGCUAAUCUGCGAUAAGCGCCGGUAAGGUGAUAUGAACCGUUAUAACCGGCGAUUUCCGAAUGGGGAAACCCAGUGUGACUCGUCACACUAUCAUUAACUGAAUCCAUAGGUUAAUGAGGCGAACCGGGGGAACUGAAACAUCUAAGUACCCCGAGGAAAAGAAAUCAACCGAGAUUCCCCCAGUAGCGGCGAGCGAACGGGGAGGAGCCCAGAGCCUGAAUCAGCAUGUGUGUUAGUGGAAGCGUCUGGAAAGGCGCGCGAUACAGGGUGACAGCCCCGUACACAAAAGCGCAUGUGCUGUGAGCUCGAUGAGUAGGGCGGGACACGUGGUAUCCUGUCUGAAUAUGGGGGGACCAUCCUCCAAGGCUAAAUACUCCUGACUGACCGAUAGUGAACCAGUACCGUGAGGGAAAGGCGAAAAGAACCCCGGCGAGGGGAGUGAAAAAGAACCUGAAACCGUGUACGUACAAGCAGUGGGAGCACAGGUUUACCUGUGUGACUGCGUACCUUUUGUAUAAUGGGUCAGCGACUUAUAUUCUGUAGCAAGGUUAACCGAAUAGGGGAGCCGGAGGGAAACCGAGUCUUAACCGGGCGUUAAGUUGCAGGGUAUAGACCCGAAACCCGGUGAUCUAGCCAUGGGCAGGUUGAAGGUUGGGUAACACUAACUGGAGGACCGAACCGACUAAUGUUGAAAAAUUAGCGGAUGACCUGUGGCUGGGGGUGAAAGGCCAAUCAAACCGGGAGAUAGCUGGUUCUCCCCGAAAGCUAUUUAGGUAGCGCCUCGUGAAUUCAUCUCCGGGGGUAGAGCACUGUUUCGGCUAGGGGGCCAUCCCGGCUUACCAACCCGAUGCAAACUGCGAAUACCGGAGAAUGUUAUCACGGGAGACACACGGCGGGUGCUAACGUCCGUCGUGAAGAGGGAAACAACCCAGACCGCCAGCUAAGGUCCCAAAGUCAUGGUUAAGUGGGAAACGAUGUGGGAAGGCCCAGACAGCCAGGAUGUUGGCUUAGAAGCAGCCAUCAUUUAAAGAAAGCGUAAUAGCUCACUGGUCGAGUCGGCCUGCGCGGAAGAUGUAACGGGGCUAAACCAUGCACCGAAGCUGCGGCAGCGAACGUAUCACUUAAAGCGAUUCAGCGGGUUACGAUUGACGGAGCGAAGCGACGUCAAAGCGUAUACAAAGUCGAGUCGGUUUAAGGAUACGUUCGUUGGGUAGGGGAGCGUUCUGUAAGCCUGCGAAGGUGGCCUGUGAGGGUUGCUGGAGGUAUCAGAAGUGCGAAUGCUGACAUAAGUAACGAUAAAGCGGGUGAAAAGCCCGCUCGCCGGAAGACCAAGGGUUCCUGUCCAACGUUAAUCGGGGCAGGGUGAGUCGACCCCUAAGGCGAGGCCGAAAGGCGUAGUCGAUGGGAAACGGGUUAAUAUUCCCGUACUUGGUGUUACUGCGAAGGGGGGACGGAGAAGGCUAUGUUGGCCGGGCGACGGUUGUCCCGGUUUAAGCGUGUAGGUGUGUGUUCCAGGUAAAUCCGGUUCACUUUAACACUGAGGCGUGAUGACGAGGCACUACGGUGCUGAAGCAACAAAUGCCCUGCUUCCAGGAAAAGCCUCUAAGCAUCAGGUAACAUCAAAUCGUACCCCAAACCGACACAGGUGGUCAGGUAGAGAAUACCAAGGCGCUUGAGAGAACUCGGGUGAAGGAACUAGGCAAAAUGGUGCCGUAACUUCGGGAGAAGGCACGCUGACACGUAGGUGAAGUGAUUUACUCACGGAGCUGAAGUCAGUCGAAGAUACCAGCUGGCUGCAACUGUUUAUUAAAAACACAGCACUGUGCAAACACGAAAGUGGACGUAUACGGUGUGACGCCUGCCCGGUGCCGGAAGGUUAAUUGAUGGGGUCAGCGCAAGCGAAGCUCCUGAUCGAAGCCCCGGUAAACGGCGGCCGUAACUAUAACGGUCCUAAGGUAGCGAAAUUCCUUGUCGGGUAAGUUCCGACCUGCACGAAUGGCGUAAUGAUGGCCAGGCUGUCUCCACCCGAGACUCAGUGAAAUUGAACUCGCUGUGAAGAUGCAGUGUACCCGCGGCAAGACGGAAAGACCCCGUGAACCUUUACUAUAGCUUGACACUGAACAUUGAGCCUUGAUGUGUAGGAUAGGUGGGAGGCUUUGAAGUGUGGACGCCAGUCUGCAUGGAGCCGACCUUGAAAUACCACCCUUUAAUGUUUGAUGUUCUAACGUGGACCCGUAAUCCGGGUUGCGGACAGUGUCUGGUGGGUAGUUUGACUGGGGCGGUCUCCUCCUAAAGAGUAACGGAGGAGCACGAAGGUUGGCUAAUCCUGGUCGGACAUCAGGAGGUUAGUGCAAUGGCAUAAGCCAGCUUGACUGCGAGCGUGACGGCGCGAGCAGGUGCGAAAGCAGGUCAUAGUGAUCCGGUGGUUCUGAAUGGAAGGGCCAUCGCUCAACGGAUAAAAGGUACUCCGGGGAUAACAGGCUGAUACCGCCCAAGAGUUCAUAUCGACGGCGGUGUUUGGCACCUCGAUGUCGGCUCAUCACAUCCUGGGGCUGAAGUAGGUCCCAAGGGUAUGGCUGUUCGCCAUUUAAAGUGGUACGCGAGCUGGGUUUAGAACGUCGUGAGACAGUUCGGUCCCUAUCUGCCGUGGGCGCUGGAGAACUGAGGGGGGCUGCUCCUAGUACGAGAGGACCGGAGUGGACGCAUCACUGGUGUUCGGGUUGUCAUGCCAAUGGCACUGCCCGGUAGCUAAAUGCGGAAGAGAUAAGUGCUGAAAGCAUCUAAGCACGAAACUUGCCCCGAGAUGAGUUCUCCCUGAGACUUUAGGUCUCCUGAAGGAACGUUGAAGACGACGACGUUGAUAGGCCGGGUGUGUAAGCGCAGCGAUGCGUUGAGCUAACCGGUACUAAUGAACCGUGAGGCUUAACCUU
This 2989-nucleotide ribosomal RNA is filed under the name Salmonella enterica. RNAcentral's name for it is "23S ribosomal RNA". It matches the Rfam family "Bacterial large subunit ribosomal RNA". Lineage: Bacteria; Pseudomonadati; Pseudomonadota; Gammaproteobacteria; Enterobacterales; Enterobacteriaceae. The record is from RNAcentral.